RNAcentral lists this ribosomal RNA (650 nucleotides) under uncultured Sebacinales. Its description in RNAcentral is "eukaryotic LSU rRNA". The stretch from base 163 to 650 matches the Rfam family "Eukaryotic large subunit ribosomal RNA", at positions 1 to 493 of the family's 3401-position model. Lineage: Eukaryota; Fungi; Basidiomycota; Agaricomycetes; Sebacinales. The record is from RNAcentral.
CCUGCUGUGUCACAAUGGCUGGUCUGAAUGCAUGAGUGCACCCUGCUGUAGCAGCGUCUUCAGUGUGAUAAGUAUCUUCACUGAUUCAAGCUCCCCUGUGGGACACGCUUGUCUGGUGGGCUCUGUGCUUCUAACUGUCCGCAUGGACAAUUCUUGACAAUUUGACCUCAAAUCGGGUGGGACUACCCGCUGAACUUAAGCAUAUCAAUAAGCGGAGGAAAAGAAACUAACAAGGAUUCCCCUAGUAACGGCGAGUGAAGAGGGAAAAGCUCAAAUUUUGAAUCUGGUACCUUUGGUGCCCGAGUUGUAAUCUAGAGAAGUGUUUUCUGCCUCGGACCAUGCAUAAAUUCCCUGGAAUGGGGUGUCAUAGAGGGUGAGAAUCCCGUUUGUGGUGUGGACUACCUUGGCUUUGUGAUACACUCUCAACGAGUCGAGUUGUUUGGGAAUGCCGCUCAAAAUGGGUGGUAAAUUCCAUCUAAAGCUAAAUAUUGGCGAGAGACCGAUAGCGAACAAGUACCGUGAGGGAAAGAUGAAAAGCACUUUGGAAAGAGAGUGAAACAGUACGUGAAAUUGUUGAAAGGGAAGCGCUUGAGGUCAGUCACAUCAGUCAGGACUCAGCCAGGCUUCUGCCUGGUGUACUUCCUGGCCGG